AUGGCUUCGACGACAUGCAGUGCUCAGAGCAGGUUUGGUUAUGUUAGAUAUUGGAGGUUUCCAUUGAUUGAUGAUAAUGCUUUGCGAAUCUGUUUCUAUGCAGGUGCGAUUUUGCAGUGUAUGGCUAAUGGAUCGGUGAAGGCAGUAGCUUGGAGAAAGGUAAUGACAGUAGAGGUUUUUGAGAGAGUGAAGAGGUUUAGGGUUGGCUUUACAGGGAAGGCUACUUAG
Non-coding RNA from Vicia faba (fava bean), 228 nucleotides. NCBI's taxonomy places the organism in Eukaryota, Viridiplantae, Streptophyta, Magnoliopsida, Fabales, Fabaceae. The record is from the annotation of a GenBank genome assembly.